UCCCUGGUGGCUCAGAAGUUAAAGUGUCUGUCUGGAAUGCAGGAGACCCGGGUUCGAUCCCUGGAUCGGGAA
Bos taurus (domestic cattle) is the source of this 72-nucleotide non-coding RNA. The record is from Rfam. NCBI's taxonomy places the organism in Eukaryota, Metazoa, Chordata, Mammalia, Artiodactyla, Bovidae.